This 155-nucleotide ribosomal RNA is filed under the name Colletotrichum truncatum. RNAcentral describes it as "5.8S ribosomal RNA". It matches the Rfam family "5.8S ribosomal RNA". From Rfam's summary of the family: 5.8S ribosomal RNA (5.8S rRNA) is a component of the large subunit of the eukaryotic ribosome. It is transcribed by RNA polymerase I as part of the 45S precursor that also contains 18S and 28S rRNA. Functionally, it is thought that 5.8S rRNA may be involved in ribosome translocation. The record is from RNAcentral. Lineage: Eukaryota; Fungi; Ascomycota; Sordariomycetes; Glomerellales; Glomerellaceae.
AAAACUUUUAACAACGGAUCUCUUGGUUCUGGCAUCGAUGAAAAACGCAGCGAAAUGCGAUAAGUAAUGUGAAUUGCAGAAUUCAGUGAAUCAUCGAAUCUUUGAACGCACAUUGCGCCCGCCAGCAUUCUGGCGGGCAUGCCUGUUCGAGCGUC